RNAcentral lists this transfer RNA (68 nucleotides) under Cavia porcellus (domestic guinea pig). It matches the Rfam family "tRNA". From Rfam's summary of the family: Transfer RNA (tRNA) molecules are approximately 80 nucleotides in length. Their secondary structure includes four short double-helical elements and three loops (D, anti-codon, and T loops). The record is from Rfam by way of RNAcentral. Lineage: Eukaryota; Metazoa; Chordata; Mammalia; Rodentia; Caviidae.
GGGAGGGUAGCUCGGUGAUAGAGUGCUUGCCUAGUGUUCAUGAGGCCUAGGUUCAAACCCUAGUCCCA